CUAGAAACCUGAGACCAUUUGUUCUUCCUAUGCCCAUUUGCCCCGAUGUUUUGGUCAUAUCUCUGUCCAAAUUGGAUACCACUUCACCCGGAUAUACAGGCAAAUAUCUCCUUUUUAAAGAUGCGGCUGGGAUUGCCCUUUUCUCUGGAAAUUAUCAUCUUAGCCUCUUGGGCCAUCUGGAACACCAGAAAUGACUGGAUCUUCAAAGGAAUCACACCAAGUCUCUAUAGAUGCAGACGAAGAUUUAAACAUGAGCUCAAUUAGCUGGUCCACAAAGCUAAGAAGUUCUACUGCAAUUUGGAGAGUUGGGUGCAGGCUUUUACAUAA
Molecule: ribosomal RNA, 327 nt
Filed under: Triticum aestivum (bread wheat)
Lineage: Eukaryota; Viridiplantae; Streptophyta; Magnoliopsida; Poales; Poaceae
Description: partial small subunit ribosomal RNA
Source: RNAcentral